Non-coding RNA from Sphingobium quisquiliarum P25, 67 nucleotides. The record is from Rfam. Lineage: Bacteria; Pseudomonadati; Pseudomonadota; Alphaproteobacteria; Sphingomonadales; Sphingobiaceae.
UUGCGGGACCGGGCCCCUCUGGCGCGCUGCUCCUUCUGGGGUGAGCGCGUGAUGUCGGACCGCAUCG